This 109-nucleotide ribosomal RNA is filed under the name Caerostris extrusa. Lineage: Eukaryota; Metazoa; Arthropoda; Arachnida; Araneae; Araneidae. The record is from RNAcentral.
GGCCGUACCAUGCUGAAUAUACCGGUUCUCGUUAGGUCACCGAAGUCAAGCAUCAUUGGGCACGGUCAGUACUUGGGUGGGUGACCACCUGGGAACACCGCGUGCCGUU